RNAcentral lists this ribosomal RNA (460 nucleotides) under uncultured bacterium. RNAcentral describes it as "partial 16S ribosomal RNA". It matches the Rfam family "Bacterial small subunit ribosomal RNA", at positions 338 to 795 of the family's 1533-position model. The record is from RNAcentral.
CCUACGGGAGGCAGCAGUGAGGAAUAUUGGUCAAUGGACGAGAGCCUGAACCAGCCAAGUAGCGUGAAGGAUGACUGCCCUACGGGUUGUAAACUUCUUUUAUAUGGGAAUAAAAUGUUCCACGUGUGGGAUUUUGUAUGUACCAUAUGAAUAAGGAUCGGCUAACUCCGUGCCAGCAGCCGCGGUAAUACGGAGGAUCCGAGCGUUAUCCGGAUUUAUUGGGUUUAAAGGGAGCGUAGGUGGAUUGUUAAGUCAGUUGUGAAAGUUUGCGGCUCAACCGUAGAAUUGCAGUUGAAACUGGCAGUCUUGAGUACAGUAGAGGUAGGCGGAAUUCGUGGUGUAGCGGUGAAAUGCUUAGAUAUCACGAAGAACUCCGAUUGCGAAGGCAGCUCACUAGACUGCAACUGACACUGAGGCUCGAAAGUGUGGGUAUCAAACAGGAUUAGAUACCCUUGUAGUC